CAGCCGCCACGGGAAUACGUAGGGUGCAAGCGUUAAUCGGAAUUACUGGGCGUAAAGCGUGCGCAGGCGGUUUGUUAAGACAGAUGUGAAAUCCCCGGGCUUAACCUGGGAACUGCAUUUGUGACUGGCAAGCUAGAGUAUGGCAGAGGGGGGUGGAAUUCCGCGUGUAGCAGUGAAAUGCGUAGAUAUGCGGAGGAACACCGGUGGCGAAGGCAGCCCCCUGGGCCAAUACUGACGCUCAUGCACGAAAGCGUGGGGAGCAAACAGGAUUAGAUACCCCCGUAGUCCCUGUCUCUUAUAC
RNAcentral lists this ribosomal RNA (301 nucleotides) under uncultured bacterium. RNAcentral describes it as "partial 16S ribosomal RNA". It matches the Rfam family "Bacterial small subunit ribosomal RNA", at positions 509 to 807 of the family's 1533-position model. The record is from RNAcentral.